This 952-nucleotide ribosomal RNA is filed under the name Nicidion amoureuxi. RNAcentral's name for it is "partial 16S ribosomal RNA". It matches the Rfam family "Bacterial large subunit ribosomal RNA", at positions 688 to 2569 of the family's 2925-position model. Lineage: Eukaryota; Metazoa; Annelida; Polychaeta; Eunicida; Eunicidae. The record is from RNAcentral.
CUUUGCAAGAUUACUAAUAACUUACAAUCCCGAAACUUACGUGAGCUGACUACUAUUUGUUAAGAACCAAAUAUAUGAUGUAGCAAUAUCAAUAAAAAAAUAGUAGUCAGAGGCUACAUACCUUCCGCACUAAGAGAUAUCUGGUUUUUCAGCCAAACCAGCUUAAGCUGUAUAAGCUAAUACCUUAAACUAUAUCCCCUACAAAUUAGCUAAUAAAGAAAAUCAAAGAUAAGCUUGAUUUUACACUUUAUUUUAAAGAAACCGCCCUCAACUGUAAGCUUAAAACCAGCUAACAUUAAAUCACGUUCUAGUAUUAAAUAUAAUAACAAUUAAAAAAAAAUAUAAAAUCUAAUGAAAUAAUUCUACCAACUUCUCUAGUUUAAAACUAUGCAAAGAUUAGUAUUCUGCACCACACAAAUAAUAAACUCACCUUAAUAUGUGGAAAAGGAACUCGGCAAAUCCUUAUUUCGACUGUUUAACAAAAACAUUGCCUAUAGAAUUACACUAUUAUAGGUACUCCCUGCCCAGUGAAUUAAUUUAACGGCCGCGGUACCCUGACCGUGCAAAGGUAGCAUAAUAAUUUGCCUCUUAAUUCGAGGCUAGAAUGAACGGGUAAACGAAAAUAAUACUGUCUCUUCCACACCCAUAAAAAUUUUUCUUCAGGUGAAGAAACCUGAAUAAAUAUAAAAGACAAGAAGACCCUGACGAGCUUUAAUUCUUAAAUACAAGCCAUAUUUCUCUAUCUCAAAGAAUAUUUAUUGGGGCGAUAAUGGAACAUAUAAAACUUCCAUCACACUUAAGACACCAAGUCUCCUCAAAGAUCCCACAUAGAUCCUAGGCACAAGCUACCGCAGGGAUAACAGGCUAAUUUUCCUUAAGAGCCCAAAUCUACAGGAAAGUUUGGCACCUCGAUGUUGGCUUAAAGAUCCUUUUAGAUGCACCAGUCUAAAAA